RNAcentral lists this ribosomal RNA (468 nucleotides) under uncultured bacterium. RNAcentral's name for it is "partial 16S ribosomal RNA". The stretch from base 52 to 468 matches the Rfam family "Bacterial small subunit ribosomal RNA", at positions 39 to 507 of the family's 1533-position model. The record is from RNAcentral.
GGGGGGGGGGGGGGGGGGGCGGGGGGGGGGGUGGGCGGGGGGGGGGGCGGGGCGGUGGGGGGGUGCUCGAGGGGCGAACGGGUGAGUGGCACGUGGGUAACCUGCCCUUGACUUUGGGAUAACUUCAGGGAACUGGGGCUAAUACCGGAUCGGAGCUCCUGCUGCAUGGUGGUGGUUGGAAAGUUUCGGCGUUUGGGGCUGGACUCGCGGCUUAGCAGCUUGUUGGUGGGGUAGUGGCUUACCAAGGCUUUGACGGGUAGCCGGCCUGAGAGGGUGGCCGGCCACAUGGGGACUGAGAGACGGCCCAGACGCCUACGGGAGGCAGCAGUGGGGAAUAUUGCAGAAUGGGCGGAAGCCUGAUGCAGCAACGCCGCGUGCGGGAUGACGGCCUUCGGGUUGUAAACCGCUUUCGCCUGUGACGAAGCGUGAGUGACGGUAAUGGGUAAAGAAGCACCGGCUAACUACGUG